GGCACAAACGCGACACUAUAUUGACUGCAUCUUCACCACCUGUUCAAUGUUUGGAGGGAAUUCAUGAGGAGUGAUGCUUUCACCAUCUCAUGACCACCACUUGCCUAAGAUGCGACAGUCAUACCUGCCCCCUAGCGAGCACGCGUGCCUGAGAUGCCACAAUCUUCCCUGCCUCGUACCAAGCAUGUGCCUUAGAUGUCACAACCUUCUCCAUCUCAUCAGGAGCAACAACCUAAUGCAGACCUAAUACAAGAACAAAAAGUGCCUCUAGAAAAAGUUAAUGCACAAGAAGGUGCCCAUGAGGAGACAAAAUUUAAAAAAAAACAUCUAAUCACCAUAAGGCCAAUUUAUACGCCGAUGACAAAUGUCACGUCGAUGUCCAAGUGGUACACCCAUGAUCAGUUCACGACUGAGAACUGAGAAGUCGUAGCACCUAAGGAGGCUGUCAACAGCAACGAUAGACUAACAAAGAAGUAUCCAAAUUUAAUGCCAUCAAAUGGUCAAAGCAUUGCUCAGAAACCUAUGAAGAGCCAAGCCCUUCCUACAGAACAGAGACAUCCAAUGCCUCUCACUUGGAAUUAAAAGGUUACAUGAUUGGCACUUGCUCGCAAACACAUUUGGAGGCCCAAAAGGGGAAAUUAUCUUUUACUUCAGUGACAUCGAGACAAUGGUUUCACCUCAGAGAAAUGGAAAUGAAUCUAGUUUGGACGUGGUGCCUGUAAGUCCUUGCCGUGAUUCUAAUCUUUGGAUUUUUGUUGUAUCUAACCCAUGCCAUGAUUUGUAGAAAGCAAGUGCAUAUUUCAAAACAAUUGCCAAUUGUGCGAUCAGGGUACGUAGAACCUGAAUGUAUAGUAUAGCCAAACUUCAAUUACACCAAAGAAUGAUGGCAAAGAGCUAGCUGCUGGAAACAACAUUGAGGAGAAAGAGGCAAUCGGGUAGAAGGAAAUAAGGGAGGUGUCCCUUAAGGUUGCGGCAUACAUUUUCCUAUCCUUUUAAGAUCUCCAAAAUAAUAAUGCUAUGUGGCUGCCAUACAACUUCGAAUAAGUUGAACUAUAUACUUAAAGCUUUAAGAAUACAAAUUAAUUAUUUUGUUUGAUGCAAAAGUGCUUCUCGGUU
RNAcentral lists this long non-coding RNA (1116 nucleotides) under Sorghum bicolor (sorghum). RNAcentral describes it as "long non-coding RNA (SBIC_LNC014976)". The record is from RNAcentral. Lineage: Eukaryota; Viridiplantae; Streptophyta; Magnoliopsida; Poales; Poaceae.